CUACGGGCGGCAGCAGUGAGGAAUAUUGCACAAUGGAGGAAACUCUGAUGCAGCAACGCCGCGUGGAGGAUGACGCAUUUCGGUGUGUAAACUCCUUUUAUAUGUCAAGAAAAUGACGGUAGCAUAUGAAUAAGCUCCGGCUAACUCCGUGCCAGCAGCCGCGGUAAUACGGAGGGAGCAAGCGUUACUCGGAAUCACUGGGCGUAAAGGACGCGUAGGCGGGAUAGAAAGUCAGGUGUGAAAUCCUAUGGCUCAACCAUAGAACUGCACUUGAAACUUCUAACCUAGAGUAUGGGAGGGGAAGAUGGAAUUAGUGGUGUAGGGGUAAAAUCCGUAGAUAUCACUAGGAAUACCAAAAGCGAAGGCGAUCUUCUGGAACAAUACUGACGCUAAGGCGUGAAAGCGUGGGGAGCAAACAGGAUUAGAUACCCGAGUAGUC
This 439-nucleotide ribosomal RNA is filed under the name uncultured bacterium. Its description in RNAcentral is "partial 16S ribosomal RNA". It matches the Rfam family "Bacterial small subunit ribosomal RNA", at positions 339 to 795 of the family's 1533-position model. The record is from RNAcentral.